RNAcentral lists this ribosomal RNA (1264 nucleotides) under uncultured bacterium. RNAcentral describes it as "bacterial SSU rRNA". It matches the Rfam family "Bacterial small subunit ribosomal RNA", at positions 104 to 1367 of the family's 1533-position model. The record is from RNAcentral.
GGGUGAGUAACACNUGGGCAACCUGCCCUGCAGAUCGGGAUAACUCCGGGAAACCGGUGCUAAUACCGAAUAGUUUGUCGCCUCUCCUGAGGCGGCACGGAAAGACGGUUUCGGCUGUCACUGCAGAAUGAGCCUGCGGCCCAUCAGCUAGUUGGUAGGGUAAAGGCCUACCAAGGCGACGAUCAGUAGCUGGUCUGAGAGGAUGAUCAGCCACAAUGGGACUGAGACACGGCCCAUACUCCUACGGGAGGCAGCAGUAGGGAAUUUUGCGCAAUGGGCGAAAGCCUGACGCAGCAACACCGCGUGAGCGAUGAAGCCCCUUGGGGUGUAAAGCUCUGUCAGUGGGGACGAAUAUAUGACGGUACCCACAGAGGAAGCAUCGGCUAACUACGUGCCAGCAGCCGCGAUAAGACGUAGGAUGCGAGCGUUGUCCGGAAUCAUUGGGCGUAAAGAGUUCGUAGGUGGCAUGUCAAGUCUGGUGUUAAAGCCCGAGGCUCAACCUCGGUUCGGCACUGGAUACUGGCAAGCUAGAGUGCAGUAGAGGCAAGGGGAAUUCCCAGUGUAGCGGUGAAAUGCGUAGAUAUUGGGAAGAACACCGGUGGCGUAAGCGCCUUGCUGGGCUAUAACUGACGCUGAGGAACGAAAGCCAGGGGAGCAAAUGGGAUUAGAUACCCCAGUAGUCCUGGCCGUAAACGGUGGAUACUAGGUGUUGCGGGUAUCGACCCCUGCAGUGCCGCAGUUAACGCGAUAAGUAUCCCGCCUGGGGAGUACGCACGCAAGUGUGAAACUCAAAGGAAUUGACGGGGGCCCGCACAAGCGGUGGAACAUGUGGUUUAAUUCGAAGCAACGCGAAGAACCUUACCAGGGCUUGACAUCCAAGGAAUCCCGGCGAAAGUUGGGAGUGCCCUUCGGGGAACCUUGAGACAGGUGGUGCAUGGUUGUCGUCAGCUCGUGUCGUGAGAUGUUGGGUUAAGUCCCGCAACGAGCGCAACCCUCGUCGUUAGUUGCUGGCAAGAGUACACUCUUGUCGAGCUCUCUAGCGAGACUGCCGGUGAUAAACCGGAGGAAGGUGGGGAUGACGUCAAAUCAUCAUGCCCCUUAUGUUCUGGGCUACACACGUGUUACAAUGGGUAGGACAACGAGCAGCCAGCCGGCAACGGUGAGCAAAUCUCUUAAACCUAUCCUCAGUUCGGAUCGGAGUCUGCAACUCGACUCCGUGAAGUCGGAAUCGCUAGUAACCGCAGAUCAGCACGCUGCGGUGAAU